GUCCUGCGGUCCUGGCCAACGCUCUUGGAGCGAGGGACAUAUUGUGUUCAUGGUGAAAUAUUCACAGGAGAUCACAGAAGGAAUAUUACACCACAACAGCGGCAGUUUAGAGAACUUGGACACUAGAGAGCGAGGCUAUAUAACUGGGCACCGGAACAUGUGGUUGAAGUCUCCUCUGGUGUGUUGUGGAAGGUCUCGCUGACAGAGACUGUUGACUUUUGGGACAUUGUGGAAUACUUGAGGCUGUACGACGCUGUCAUCUCGCUGGAGGGUGUUGACCCGGUGUGUGUACGGAGAGGAUGAAGAGUGUGGCGGCGGUGUUGGUGUUGUGGGUGGCGGUGUGGGCGGCCGCGGGCGUGGAGGACACGCACCAGGAACACCAGCAGCUCCACACCAGAGUAAAGAGGCAGUUUGGCUUCAACCGUGGACACGGAGGCAACCCGCACCGCAAUAAUUUCCCUGGACAUGGAGGCUUCACUCCGCCUGGGCACCUUGGUGGACACCACGGACACGUCAACAACAGGCGCCCCGGGACUGAUGGCAGACCCAAACCACUAGUACAGGCCGAAGGCCAUAACCUCAACAACCAGCUCUCGUGGUUCAAGGAUGUCGUCAGUGGAACUAAUAACAACCAAAUUUCUUUGGAGGGUCUGCCAAGAGUUCCAUUAAGGCAGGCACAGAACACCUUCUUCCAGCUGGGCAUUGGCCAGCCGGACAUACCGUUCCAGCAGUGCCGGACCCCACGGGGCGAGCGGGGUCAGUGCCGCUUCCUGCAGUACUGCAUCCAGCCCCAGUUUGCCAACAACUUCCAGGUGUUCCUGCAGUAUGUGUGCUUCAUCCAGGGCGUGUACGUGGGUGCCUGCUGUCCCACUACCAUCAACAGCGAGGGGGUGACGGCGCCCCCACCACCGCCCCCUACCCCCGCCCCCACACCUCGCCCCACCACCCCUCCAAGCGAGGCUAGAGGUAACUUUUUGACACACUGUACUCCCCUUCAUAUAGUCUAGGGCAGCUGCACAAAUGCAGAUGUACCUAAAUGUGUUAAUAAAAAAAGGCCGUGGGUGGCCGCCCUCCUGAGGCAGGGCAGCAGUCAAUACUGUGGGGGAGUCCUGAUUACCGACCAGCACGUCCUGACUGCUGCCCACUGUGUCCGCGGAUUUGACCAUAAGACGAUCUCUGUCCGUCUGGGAGAAUAUAACUUUAAUCAGAGCAGCGCAGGAGCCCAGACCUUCGGGGUGCUGAAGAUCAAGGAGCAUGAGGCCUACGACACCACCACCUACGUCAACGAUCUCGCGCUCAUCACCCUAGAGAAGAGCACAGAGUUCAACGCUGACAUCUGGCCCAUCUGUCUGCCGGAGGGUGACGAGACAUACGUUGACAGGCAGGCUACCGUCGUCGGCUGGGGGACCAUCUACUACGGGGGUCCGGUGUCCAGCGUGCUGAUGGAGGUGUCUAUUCCCAUCUGGACCAACAGUGACUGUGAUAACGCCUACGAGCAGGACAUUAUUGACAAGCAGCUCUGUGCCGGGGACAAGGCUGGGGGCAAGGAUUCCUGUCAGGGAGACAGUGGUGGGCCGCUCAUGUUGCAGCAGGGAGGUGCCAACAGGUGGGCCGUGGUGGGUGUAGUGUCCUGGGGUAUACGCUGUGCUGAGGCUGCCAGCCCCGGAGUUUACACCAGAGUCAGCAAGUAUACCGACUGGAUCAGAGCAAACCAAUAGAGACCCCCCACAUCUUCCACUAUGGCUAACAAACGAGAACUUCCAGUGAAAACCAUCCACCAGAGGGAGCUUCCAUGAGCCACUCAACAUCCUUCACCAACUCUCUUCAAGACCUCAUCCAAACCUAAAUAAACUGUAAUAAUUUAGCACUAUCAAACAAUACUGGGCAAAACAUAUAUUAAAGUCAUCUCCUUUAUUGUUGCAAGUGAUAUAAGGUUUCCAGGACAUAAUGCUUCUUUCUGAGGCACAUAAGAAAAGAAAAAAGAUGCAAGUAAAACGAUUAAUUAUGAUUAGAAGAGUUUGCCCUAACACAGGAAAUAUACAACACAGAGAAUGGCGCAGGCGACCAAGGACCUUUCAUCCAAGCAACCACCUCUGGGUCCUGUAGCGCAGUAGUCUAAGUCCUCGACUCAGAUCGAGAGACCCGAAUUCAACUCUCCUUAAAGAAUAAAAACAUUUGGGCACAGUUCCUUUCACCUGAUACCUCUGUUUACCUAGCAGAGGUACCCAACUCUUGUGGGUAACAUCCAGCAGUAGGUCAGUAGUUGGCCUAGAUGGACAUCAAGUAAGCCUAAGUAAAGUUUUCUUUCCCCCAACAAAUGAGAAAUAUAUGUCGAUUCGGUAAGAAAACUUACAGUCAUGCUUUAAACGGAAUUUUCAGUAUUGCUUAGUCAAAGUUAAUGAGCCAUGCUGCUGCUGUCCUUCUCUGGUGAUGUUCCCUUGUGUCUUGACAAGUUCUGCACCAUCAAAGACUCGUCACGAUAGGAGAAUUUGGCUGGGUUGACCCUUACAUUGUUACCAUCAUCAUCUGAAAUUUCCUCUUAAUUAUGCUGAAAUCACCAUAUGUCAUUGAUCUAUGUGGGUUUUCAAUUUAUAUGUUUCUCGUGCGCACUUGAGUAUAGGAGUUUUAAAGAUUUAGCAGUUUAAGGGUCAACAUGUUCUGAUGUUAUGAAGACUCAAUUAUUGUUCACUGAAUGGGAUUAUAACAAAGAACGUGACGGUGUUUAAAACUUCACUCAAAAAAAGCCGAUUUGAUUUAUGAAUAUGAACUUAUUCAUAAUAUUUUUUUAUGAAAAUCUCAGUUAGUAGAGUAUGGAAAAUUCAAAUGGUGCAAUUAUUACCAACAUGGAAUAGAAUUAAGAGGAGUUGAAGAUACUUGGACAACCACUCAGGAUCUCAAAACAAGAAGCUUGUCAAAGACUUUGUGAGAGAUACUCAAGUAACAUUUAUAGUAACCAAACAACAUUAAGGAAGAGAAAUUAUAUAAAAUUAAUAUUACUCAAAAGCACUCUCGCAGAGGGUUGCAGGACCCCCCCCCCCAUACACCAGCCCAGAGCAAACAUGGGCAAAACAACAACAUCCUCUGGCAAGGUUGUGACAACUACAGUUAUCUACAACAACAACAACAACAACAUUCUCUGGCAAGGUUGUGACAACUACAGUUAUCUACAACAACAACAACAACAACAUUCUCUGGCAAGGUUGUGACAACUACAGUUAUCUACAACAACAACAACAACAACAUUCUCUGGCAAGGUUGUGACAACUACAGUUAUCAACAACAACAACAACAACAACAACAUUCUCUGGCAAGGUUGUGACAACUACAGUUAUCAACAACAACAACAACAUCAUCUGGCAAGGUUGUGACAACUACAGUUAUCUACAACAACAACAACAACAUCAUCUGGCAAGGUUGUGACAACUACAGUUAUCUACAACAACAGCAACAACAACAUUCUCUGGCAAGGUUGUGACAACUACAGUUAUCUACAACAACAACAACAACAACAUUCUCUGGCAAGGUUGUGACAACUACAGUUAUCUACAACAACAACAACAACAUUCUCUGGCAAGGUUGUGACAACUACAGUUAUCAACAACAACAACAACAACAUCCUCUGGCAAGGUUGUGACAACUACAGUUAUCUACAACAACAGCAACAACAACAUUCUCUGGCAAGGUUGUGACAACUACAGUUAUCUACAACAACAACAUUCUCUGGCAAGGUUGUGACAACUACAGUUAUCUACAACAACAACAACAACAACAACAACAUCCUCUGGCAAGGUUGUGACAACUACAGUUAUCAACAACAACAACAACAACAUUCUCUGGCAAGGUUGUGACAACUACAGUUAUCUACAACAACAACAACAACAUUCUCUGGCAAGGUUGUGACAACUACAGUUAUCUACAACAACAACAA
Molecule: non-coding RNA, 3928 nt
Organism: Procambarus clarkii (red swamp crayfish)
Lineage: Eukaryota; Metazoa; Arthropoda; Malacostraca; Decapoda; Cambaridae
Source: RefSeq, a predicted model, not a curated record